Molecule: non-coding RNA, 45 nt
Filed under: Schistosoma mattheei
Lineage: Eukaryota; Metazoa; Platyhelminthes; Trematoda; Strigeidida; Schistosomatidae
Source: RNAcentral
AUCCAGCUGACGAGUCCCAAAUAGGAGGAAACAUGUCUCCUGAAU